RNAcentral lists this ribosomal RNA (535 nucleotides) under uncultured Leuconostoc sp. RNAcentral describes it as "bacterial SSU rRNA". It matches the Rfam family "Bacterial small subunit ribosomal RNA", at positions 12 to 529 of the family's 1533-position model. Lineage: Bacteria; Bacillati; Bacillota; Bacilli; Lactobacillales; Lactobacillaceae. The record is from RNAcentral.
UUUGAUCCUGGCUCAGGAUGAACGCUGGCGGCGUGCCUAAUACAUGCAAGUCGAACGCGCAGCGAGAGGUGCUUGCACCUUUCAAGCGAGUGGCGAACGGGUGAGUAACACGUGGAUAACCUGCCUCAAGGCUGGGGAUAACAUUUGGAAACAGAUGCUAAUACCGAAUAAAACUUAGUAUCGCAUGAUAUCAAGUUAAAAGGCGCUACGGCGUCACCUAGAGAUGGAUCCGCGGUGCAUUAGUUAGUUGGUGGGGUAAAGGCUUACCAAGACGAUGAUGCAUAGCCGAGUUGAGAGACUGAUCGGCCACAUUGGGACUGAGACACGGCCCAAACUCCUACGGGAGGCUGCAGUAAGGAAUCUUCCACAAUGGGCGCAAGCCUGAUGGAGCAACGCCGCGUGUGUGAUGAAGGCUUUCGGGUCGUAAAGCACUGUUGUAUGGGAAGAAAUGCUAAAAUAGGGAAUGAUUUUAGUUUGACGGUACCAUACCAGAAAGGGACGGCUAAAUACGUGCCAGCAGCCGCGGUAAUAAGGG